Molecule: transfer RNA, 74 nt
Filed under: Myxococcales bacterium
Lineage: Bacteria; Pseudomonadati; Myxococcota; Myxococcia; Myxococcales
Also listed under: 1 other name
Description: tRNA-Arg
Rfam family: tRNA
About the family: Transfer RNA (tRNA) molecules are approximately 80 nucleotides in length.
Source: RNAcentral
GGGCAUUUAGCUCAGCUGGAUAGAGCGUUGGCCUCCGAAGCCAAAGGCCGCAGGUUCGAAUCCUGCAAUGCCCA